RNAcentral lists this ribosomal RNA (216 nucleotides) under Glomeromycotina sp. RNAcentral's name for it is "partial small subunit ribosomal RNA". The stretch from base 40 to 216 matches the Rfam family "Eukaryotic small subunit ribosomal RNA", at positions 686 to 864 of the family's 1831-position model. Lineage: Eukaryota; Fungi; Glomeromycota. The record is from RNAcentral.
GGGUCAGUAGGUUGGUCGUGCCACCGGUACGUACUGGUCUCACUGAUUCCUCCUUCCUGAAGAACCGUAAUGCCAUUAAUUUGGUGUUGCGAGGAAACAGGACUGUUACUUUGAAAAAAUUAGAGUGUUUAAAGCAAGCUAACGCUUGAAUACAUUAGCAUGGAAUAAUGAAAUAGGACGAUCGAUCCUAUUUUGUUGGUUUCUAGGAUUGACGUA